Tripterygium wilfordii is the source of this 528-nucleotide long non-coding RNA. RefSeq lists it as uncharacterized. The record is from RefSeq and is a predicted model, not a curated record. The transcript is spliced from 2 exons. Lineage: Eukaryota; Viridiplantae; Streptophyta; Magnoliopsida; Celastrales; Celastraceae.
UCCAACGGCUGAUAGUUUCAACCUCUACUUUACACAGGAAUUCGUUCUUCUCACCGGAGGAGAUGUAGAGAGAACUUCGCAGUCGUUGUGAUUGGUGACAGCGUCGUCUCCUCCUCAUCCACUAGUCUCACCUAAAGAUUUGGAUUCGACCCGAUUUCGAGCUUCGAAGUUCACAGUCGUUACGACUGGAGAUUUGGAUUUGUCUCGUAGGAAAAUAAAAAAAUUUGUAUCUAGGGCUUGGAACUGUUAUUUUUGGUUGCUUCUAAUUCAUUAUUUUUUGCCAAAUUUCUCAAUUAUUGUCGGUGAGAGAAAUCAUGGUGGGUUUGAUUGCAGUGUUGAAAUGAGAUUGAUAUUAUGGGAAAUGCUGAAUUUCUUCGAUGCUUGUAAUGUAGACCUGCCUUGUAUGAAGAGUUUUAUCUUUCUUUAUUUGCAAAAGGGUGAUUUGAAUCGCCUAGAAUGAUCACAUAACCCAUUUUGAGGUAAUGUUUGACACAUACAUACAAUGAAAGAUGCAAAGGUUGUGAGAUA